UAUCUUCAGGGCAGGGUGAAAGUCCCUACCGGUGGUAAAAGUCCACGACCUCUUUUGAGCUGAUUUGGUGAAAUUCCAAAACCGACGGUUAAAGUCCGGAUGAAAGAAGACG
This 112-nucleotide non-coding RNA is filed under the name human gut metagenome. RNAcentral's name for it is "FMN riboswitch (RFN element)". It matches the Rfam family "FMN riboswitch aptamer (RFN element)". From Rfam's summary of the family: The RFN element is a highly conserved domain that is found frequently in the 5'-untranslated regions of prokaryotic mRNAs that encode for flavin mononucleotide (FMN) biosynthesis and transport proteins. The record is from RNAcentral.